GAACUACAAUAGUGCCGGAACAGUCUGAUGACAGAGGGACCUGGCAGCAGAGAGGCAACCACCGAAUUGAGCCUCUGAACUGCGCCCACUGAGAGGGCAGAGAUGGGGUCUGUCUCCCCCCUCCAGUCCCUCUCAGUUGACCAAGCAUGGGAAUGAGCACCCAAGAAGUGCCCUGAAUAUCUCCUGGACAUGGGCAGGUGCAGGCCCUUACCGUCCUCAGGGCGCAGCUGCAGGGGCGUGGAGCUGGGCUGAGUCAUGGUGAAGAGCG
Molecule: long non-coding RNA, 268 nt
Organism: Prionailurus viverrinus (fishing cat)
Lineage: Eukaryota; Metazoa; Chordata; Mammalia; Carnivora; Felidae
Exons: 3
Source: RefSeq, a predicted model, not a curated record